AUUGAACGCUGGCGGCAGGCCUAACACAUGCAAGCCGAACGGUAACAAGAAGCAGCUUGCUGCUUCGCUGACGAGUGGCGGACGGGUGAGUAAUGUCUGGGAAACUGCCCGAUGGAGGGGGAUAACUACUGGAAACGGUAGCUAAUACCGCAUAACGUCGCAAGACCAAAGAGGGGGACCUUCGGGCCUCUUGCCAUCGGAUGUGCCCAGAUGGGAUUAGCUUGUUGGUGAGGUAACGGCUCACCAAGGCGACGAUCCCUAGCUGGUCUGAGAGGAUGACCAGCCACACUGGAACUGAGACACGGUCCAGACUCCUACGGGAGGCAGCGGUGGGGAAUAUUGCACAAUGGGCGCAAGCCUGAUGCAGCCAUGCCGCGUGUAUGAAGAAGGCCUUCGGGUUGUAAAGUACUUUCAGCGGGGAGGAAGGUGUUGUGGUUAAUAACCGCAGCAAUUGACGUUACCCGCAGAAGAAACACCGGCUAACUCCGUGCCAGCCGCCGCCGUAA
Molecule: ribosomal RNA, 506 nt
Filed under: uncultured bacterium
Lineage: Bacteria
Description: partial 16S ribosomal RNA
Rfam family: Bacterial small subunit ribosomal RNA
Source: RNAcentral